Ornithodoros turicata is the source of this 560-nucleotide long non-coding RNA. RefSeq lists it as uncharacterized. Lineage: Eukaryota; Metazoa; Arthropoda; Arachnida; Ixodida; Argasidae. The transcript has 2 exons. The record is from RefSeq and is a predicted model, not a curated record.
AUUAAAAUGCCUUUUGCUGUGUGGUUUCUAUCAUGCCUUUCUGUUUUGGGGGAAGAUCCGCAACACGUUCCAUGGCAUGGUUCCCUGGACAAUGGACCACGGGGGUUUGGACUGCAGGUGGCUACCUUAUUGGUGCACAUGGGAUCGUUGCUUGGUGGCAUUAUUCGUCAUUGAUGCUGUUGGAACGUUGCGCAUGAAUCCUCCAUGCUUCCGAGUGCGACCAUCCGCUAAGACGGACGAACGAAGACGAGGACAAUCCAGGUCCAUCGCAAGGCCAGGCCAGAAGCAUACGCCGUAUAGUUAGCAUAAUUGAGCGACAUGUCCAUUCCGCUGAAUCAUCACCUCUUCAAGGAAAUCCACGUCGUGUCAACACCAUAGCCACCGCAGCCUGUACACCACAGCUCUUCGAGAACUUCGUGCAGGAACCAUGGACUUUGAACUCUACCGGACUGAACUGGACUAGACUGGAUCGAACUCGUCAUUCAUCAACUAUAUUGUUGAACAAUAUUUUGUUACAAUCUCCCUUCUGUGCAACAAAUGUUGAUGAAAUUGCAAUUGUA